GGACCCAUGGAGCCCAGACCCACAGAUCCUGGACCCACAGCCCCCAGACCCACGGAGCCCAGACCCAUGGAUCCUGGACCCACAGAUCCUGGACCCAUGGAGCCCAGACCCACGGAUCCUGGACCUACAGAUCCUGGACCCACAGCCCCCAGACCCACGGAGCCCGGACCCACGGACCCCAGACCCACAGAUCCCAGCCCCCCGGCCACGGGGCGCUGCUGCAGGAGAUGCCAAUGGAGCACAAAGCGGAGCACCAUUAAUUAAUGAUGGAGCUCGUUCAUUAGGAGCUGGGUUAAUUAAUGAAUGGGUGGGGUAUGGACCCAGUAUGGGCUCUCAUGGGGCCGGGAGGGAUGGAGAGGCUCGUUAAUUAAUAAUUAAUAAAUGAUGAGAAACGGAACCCAAGCGUCCACUCAUAGAGCCAGGAGGGACGGAGGAGCUCGUUAAUUAAUUAAUGAACGGGGUUUGGACCCAUAUGGGCUCUCAUGGGGCCAGAAGGGACAGAAGAGCUCGUUAAUUAAUUAAUGACUGAUGGGACAUGGUCCCAUGCAUGGAGGGGGGGUCCCAUGGACUGNAGCGCGGAGCCGCCGCUGCCAUGGCACAGAUGGCGGCCGAGGCACGGGACGUGAGCGCGGCCAUGGCGGGGACGGAAUGGGGGGCGCUGGGGGGCGGAGCCCGGACCCAUGGAGCCCAGACCCACGGAUCCUGGACACACGACCUCCAGACCCAUGGACUCCAGACCCGCAGCCCCCAGACCCACAGAUCCUGGACCCACGGAUCCUGACCCACGGAUCCUAGACCCACGACCUCCAGACCCAUGGCCUACAGAACCCAGACCCACAGAUCCUGGACCCAUGGAUCCUGACCCACGGAUCCUGACCCACGGAUCCUGGACCCAUGACCUCCAGACCCACGGACCCCAGACCCACAACCUUGAGACCCACAGAUCCUGGACCCACAACCUCCAGACCCAUGGAGCACAGACCCAUGGACUCCAGACCCACAACCUUGAGACCCACAGCUCCCGGACCCACGACCUCCAGACCCACAGAGCUCAGACCCACAACUUCGAGAGCCGCGGAUCCCAGACCCCAAACCUCCAGACCCACAGAUCCUGACCCUGCAGCAUUGGGGCACCUGGGGGCUAUGCUGGGAGCGGCACAGAGGAAGAUGCGGGGCAGGGGGGAGCGGGAACGGGAACGGGAUUGGGACUGGGAACGGGAAUGGGACCGGGAGCGGGAAUGGGAACGGGAGUGGGAAUGGGAACGGGAGCGGGAAUGGGACUGGGAAUGGGACCGGGAACGGGACCGGGAACGGGACCGGGAAUGGGAACGGGACUGGGAACGGGAAUGGGACCGGGAAUGGGAACGGGAACGGGAGCGGCUGGGCCGGGCGAGGAGGAAGUGCCGCUUCCUGCUGGCAUGGAGCCGGGAGCGCGGAGCCGCCGCUGCCAUGGCACAGAUGGCGGCCGAGGCACGGGACGUGAGCGCGGCCAUGGCGGGGACGGAAUGGGGGGCGCUGGGGGGCNCACGGAUCCUGACCCUGCAGCAUUGGGGCACCUGGGGGCCAUGCUGGGAGCGGCGAGGAGGAAGAUGCGGGGCGGGGGGGAGCGGGAAUGGGACCGGGAUUGGGAACGGGAAUGGGACCAGGACCAGGAAUGGGACCGGGAAUGGGAACGGGAAUGGGACCGGGAAUGGGAGCGGGAAUGGGACUGGGAAUGGGAACGGGAAUGGGAAUGGGACCGGGAACGGGACCGGGAUUGGGACCGGGAAUGGGAACGGGAUUGGGACCGGGACCAGGAAUGGGACCGGGAAUGGGAACGGGACUGGGACUGGGAAUGGAAAUGGGACCGGGAACGGGACCGGGAUUGGGACCGGGAAUGGGAACGGGAGCGGGACCAGGAACGGGAGCGGGACCGGGAAUGGGAUCGGGAGCGGCUGGACCCAUAGAUCCUAG
Molecule: long non-coding RNA, 1953 nt
Organism: Numida meleagris (helmeted guineafowl)
Lineage: Eukaryota; Metazoa; Chordata; Aves; Galliformes; Numididae
Source: Ensembl